Molecule: ribosomal RNA, 261 nt
Filed under: uncultured archaeon
Lineage: Archaea
Description: partial 16S ribosomal RNA
Rfam family: Archaeal small subunit ribosomal RNA
Source: RNAcentral
UAGCCGUAAACGAUACUCGCUAGGUGUCGGCCACGGUGCGACCGUUGUCGGUGCCGUAGGGAAGCCGUGAAGCGAGCCACCUGGGAAGUACGGCCGCAAGGCUGAAACUUAAAGGAAUUGGCGGGGGAGCACCACAACGGGUGGAGCUUGCGGUUUAAUUGGAUUCAACGCCGGAAAUCUUACCGGGACCGACAGCAACAUGAAGGCCAGGCUGGAGACUUUGCCGGAUUAGCUGAGAGGAGGUGCAUGGCGUAGACGUCU